Molecule: unclassified non-coding RNA, 383 nt
Filed under: soil metagenome
Description: partial contains 5.8S ribosomal RNA, internal transcribed spacer 2, and large subunit ribosomal RNA
Rfam family: 5.8S ribosomal RNA (bases 1-119)
Source: RNAcentral
AUGAAGAACGUAGCGAAAUGCGAUAAGUAAUGUGAAUUGCAGAAUUCAGUGAAUCAUCGAAUCUUUGAACGCACCUUGCACCCUUUGGCAUUCCGAAGGGUAUGCUCGUUUGAGUGUCAUUGUACUCUCACUCUCCCGAUGCUUUUGGAUCGGGAGUGGUGGACUUGGGUGUUGCUGCUUUGCUGUGGCUCGCCUCAAAUGGAGUAGUGCAACUCUUGGUUGGACAUAGUACGGCGUGAUAAGUGUCUUCGCCGGCGCCUCAUUAUAGAGGGUGGCCGAUCGGGAGCUCUGUGCUUCAAACCGUCUUCGGACAACAUCUGACAACUUGACCUCAAAUCGAGUAGGACUACCCGCUGAACUUAAGCAUAUCAAUAAGCGGAGGA